RNAcentral lists this unclassified non-coding RNA (213 nucleotides) under plant metagenome. RNAcentral's name for it is "partial contains small subunit ribosomal RNA, internal transcribed spacer 1, and 5.8S ribosomal RNA". The record is from RNAcentral.
UUUCCGUAGGUGAACCUGCGGAAGGAUCAUUCAUAAUAAGUGUUUUAUGGCACUUUUUUAAAUCCAUAUCCACCUUGUGUGCAAUGUCAGGGUUGAUUUUUCUCUCGAGAGGAUCAACCCCAAACAUCAACUAUAUCUCAACUUUUUGUCUGAAAAAUAUUAUGAAUAAAACAAUUCAAAAUACAACUUUCAACAACGGAUCUCUUGGCUCUC